Platichthys flesus (European flounder) is the source of this 75-nucleotide small nucleolar RNA. RefSeq annotates it as small nucleolar RNA SNORD99. The transcript has a single exon. The record is from RefSeq and is a predicted model, not a curated record. Lineage: Eukaryota; Metazoa; Chordata; Actinopteri; Pleuronectiformes; Pleuronectidae.
UCUGAUCUAUGAUGACGAACUUACAAUUAUGCGGACUGCUGGAUGAACGUAGCGGAUAUGGGACUGAGAUCAGCC